GAUGAACGCUAGCGGCAGGCUUAAUACAUGCAAGUCGAGGGGUAGUUUAGAUUCGUCUGAAUUAGACCGGCGCACGGGUGAGUAACACGUACGCAACCUACCCUGUACUGAGGCAUAGCCCCGGAAAUGGGAUUAAUUCCUCAUAGUCCUUUAGAAUGGCAUCAUUCUUUAGGUAAAGCUUAGGCGGUACAGGAUGGGCGUGCGUCUGAUUAGGUAGUUGGUAUGGGUAACGGCCUACCAAGCCUGCGAUCAGUAGCUGGCGUGAGAGCGCGACCAGCCACACUGGAACUGAGACACGGCCCAGACUCCUACGGGAGGCAGCAGUGGGGAAUCUUAGACAAUGGGCGCAAGCCUGAUCUAGCCAUGCCGCGUGAUCGAUGAAGGCCUUAGGGUUGUAAAGAUCUUUCAGAUGGGAAGAUAAUGACGGUACCAUCAGAAGAAGCCCCGGCUAACUCCGUGCCAGCAGCCGCG
RNAcentral lists this ribosomal RNA (471 nucleotides) under uncultured bacterium. RNAcentral describes it as "bacterial SSU rRNA". It matches the Rfam family "Bacterial small subunit ribosomal RNA", at positions 28 to 519 of the family's 1533-position model. The record is from RNAcentral.